Long non-coding RNA from Phyllostomus discolor (pale spear-nosed bat), 1042 nucleotides. RefSeq lists it as uncharacterized. The record is from RefSeq and is a predicted model, not a curated record. Lineage: Eukaryota; Metazoa; Chordata; Mammalia; Chiroptera; Phyllostomidae. The transcript has 3 exons.
CUCAGCACACACCCCACUUUGAGGAGACCUGUGCACCGUCAUUGUCCCACAGACCCUCAGACUCUAGAAGACCAUGACUUGUGCAUCCCAUGUCCCCACAGAGCAAAGCGCUUUAACGCCCAGCUUUCCCCUGGGUUCCACCUUCCACUGGAGUUGGGUCUAAAUUCCUUCCUCUCCUACCAGCACUUGGUGGUCUAGAGGAAAUUUAAAAGUAUCCUCUUCUGGGAGGUUCAGUGGUUUCAGCUGGAGGUUGGGUCCUCCCUGAACAGUUCUGCCCACAAUGACCCCUGGGAGACCCCCCGCUCGACUUAAACAUCAUCUGCAAGAUGAUUGCUUUCACAUUCACAUCUGGACCAGCCUCUCAACUUCUGGGAGCCUGGGCACAUUCACUUGGAGGGUAUGGUAAAGGGCUGAAGUUCACAGGAUGAUUUCUCAGCUGCCACCCCACCCCCAUGGCCUGUGGAGCCCAAGUUCCCCUUUCAGGCAGGGUCACAGGUCUGUCACUCACGGCUUCCUCUUGGGAUGUCCUCAGCUCCACCCCAUAGCUGGGCAUUUUCCUACCUGACACAGGAACAUAAACCAUCUCUGCCCUGUCAGGGGCAGACAUCAUGCCCCUGAUGCUGGGGCUUGAACCUGACCCUGGGGUCACCAUGGAGCAGAGAGGGAAUCAGAGUGUGAAUGCACUCAAGAUUGUGCAAAUCAUAUUCCAUCCCAUCCUGGAGGGCAAGGUUCCGUGCCUGCUGUGCAUGGCUGACAGCAACACCCUCCCUGCAGUGCUGAGCUGAUUCUGGAGUUCUCCAGUCCUGAACAUCCCCCCACCCCCACCCUGCCCCUGAUCUCCAAAAGCACGAUCCUGGAGCUGCCUCGUGUGAAGACUGUGGAAGAGGGACAGUACACCUGCCAGGCUCAGCCCCCACUGAGCUCCAAACAUGUUUCCUUCAGCCUCUCUGUGCAGAGACCUCCCUGUUCCUGCAAAUGUGUGACUCAGGAGCAGCAGGCCUCCUGGCCCCUGGUCCUCACUCUGAUCUGAGGGGGCCUCAUG